This 73-nucleotide non-coding RNA is filed under the name Gammaproteobacteria bacterium. The record is from RNAcentral. Lineage: Bacteria; Pseudomonadati; Pseudomonadota; Gammaproteobacteria.
AAGCGAAACCACCCCGGCCUGGCCGGUGGUGGUCUGCCCAGCGUGGUUGCUGGGCACUGAUGAGCAGCCGAGG